RNAcentral lists this transfer RNA (60 nucleotides) under Fasciolopsis buskii. RNAcentral describes it as "Fasciolopsis buski tRNA-Ser". Lineage: Eukaryota; Metazoa; Platyhelminthes; Trematoda; Plagiorchiida; Fasciolidae. The record is from RNAcentral.
GGAGUUUAUUUGGUUGUCGCUGCUAACGAUGAUUUGGGUAUUUAUUUUAUCCGAGCUCCU